Molecule: ribosomal RNA, 1546 nt
Filed under: Salmonella enterica subsp. enterica serovar Paratyphi A str. ATCC 9150
Lineage: Bacteria; Pseudomonadati; Pseudomonadota; Gammaproteobacteria; Enterobacterales; Enterobacteriaceae
Also listed under: 1 other name
Description: bacterial SSU rRNA
Rfam family: Bacterial small subunit ribosomal RNA
Source: RNAcentral
AAUUGAAGAGUUUGAUCAUGGCUCAGAUUGAACGCUGGCGGCAGGCCUAACACAUGCAAGUCGAACGGUAACAGGAAGCAGCUUGCUGCUUUGCUGACGAGUGGCGGACGGGUGAGUAAUGUCUGGGAAACUGCCUGAUGGAGGGGGAUAACUACUGGAAACGGUGGCUAAUACCGCAUAACGUCGCAAGACCAAAGAGGGGGACCUUCGGGCCUCUUGCCAUCAGAUGUGCCCAGAUGGGAUUAGCUUGUUGGUGAGGUAACGGCUCACCAAGGCGACGAUCCCUAGCUGGUCUGAGAGGAUGACCAGCCACACUGGAACUGAGACACGGUCCAGACUCCUACGGGAGGCAGCAGUGGGGAAUAUUGCACAAUGGGCGCAAGCCUGAUGCAGCCAUGCCGCGUGUAUGAAGAAGGCCUUCGGGUUGUAAAGUACUUUCAGCGGGGAGGAAGGUGUUGUGGUUAAUAACCGCAGCAAUUGACGUUACCCGCAGAAGAAGCACCGGCUAACUCCGUGCCAGCAGCCGCGGUAAUACGGAGGGUGCAAGCGUUAAUCGGAAUUACUGGGCGUAAAGCGCACGCAGGCGGUCUGUCAAGUCGGAUGUGAAAUCCCCGGGCUCAACCUGGGAACUGCAUUCGAAACUGGCAGGCUUGAGUCUUGUAGAGGGGGGUAGAAUUCCAGGUGUAGCGGUGAAAUGCGUAGAGAUCUGGAGGAAUACCGGUGGCGAAGGCGGCCCCCUGGACAAAGACUGACGCUCAGGUGCGAAAGCGUGGGGAGCAAACAGGAUUAGAUACCCUGGUAGUCCACGCCGUAAACGAUGUCUACUUGGAGGUUGUGCCCUUGAGGCGUGGCUUCCGGAGCUAACGCGUUAAGUAGACCGCCUGGGGAGUACGGCCGCAAGGUUAAAACUCAAAUGAAUUGACGGGGGCCCGCACAAGCGGUGGAGCAUGUGGUUUAAUUCGAUGCAACGCGAAGAACCUUACCUGGUCUUGACAUCCACGGAAGUUUUCAGAGAUGAGAAUGUGCCUUCGGGAACCGUGAGACAGGUGCUGCAUGGCUGUCGUCAGCUCGUGUUGUGAAAUGUUGGGUUAAGUCCCGCAACGAGCGCAACCCUUAUCCUUUGUUGCCAGCGGUCCGGCCGGGAACUCAAAGGAGACUGCCAGUGAUAAACUGGAGGAAGGUGGGGAUGACGUCAAGUCAUCAUGGCCCUUACGACCAGGGCUACACACGUGCUACAAUGGCGCAUACAAAGAGAAGCGACCUCGCGAGAGCAAGCGGACCUCAUAAAGUGCGUCGUAGUCCGGAUUGGAGUCUGCAACUCGACUCCAUGAAGUCGGAAUCGCUAGUAAUCGUGGAUCAGAAUGCCACGGUGAAUACGUUCCCGGGCCUUGUACACACCGCCCGUCACACCAUGGGAGUGGGUUGCAAAAGAAGUAGGUAGCUUAACCUUCGGGAGGGCGCUUACCACUUUGUGAUUCAUGACUGGGGUGAAGUCGUAACAAGGUAACCGUAGGGGAACCUGCGGUUGGAUCACCUCCUUACCUUA